Molecule: long non-coding RNA, 625 nt
Organism: Physcomitrium patens
Lineage: Eukaryota; Viridiplantae; Streptophyta; Bryopsida; Funariales; Funariaceae
Source: RefSeq, a predicted model, not a curated record
CGAGAACAAACAUUUUGCGUCGCAGAAGCGAAAGCUAGAGCGAGCGGGGGAGUGAUUGAUCGAUUCAGGUCUUGGGGAUGGUGCGCCGAUUGAUACGCCAGACUACGGACGCUUGAUUGGUUGGAUUGGAUUGGAUUUGUAGUGCUUGUGCGAUUUGAUUGAACCUUGCGAAGGAGGUGAAGGGGGUGAGAGAGAGAGCGAGAGAGAUUUUCGAUGGCGCAGCAUGGAGCAUUCAAUCCCGGCUCUACUUCUCAGACCCCAGGGUCGCUGUCGUGGGUGCCGCUCAUUGUAUCGGCUCUCGUCGUAGCGCAUCUCUUCGCCCUGGCCUUUUGGAUCUACAAGUUGGCUUCAGAUAAACCUGAGGAGCGGCGGAAGGUACACUAAUCUUUGCAAGGACUUACGAACUUGCUUCCUGUUUGGAGGGCAGUCCAAUAUACUAUGACAGGUGUGACGACUUCAAUCUGUUUGCAAUAUAAGCUCUGUCGUUUUAGAUGUGGUAUUAGUUGCAGUGUUUUCUAGCAUAUUUUGGUCCCUUGGAUCAUUUAUUUCAAAUUGUAGCCAAUAGUUACGAACACAUCCAUCAAUACACUUGGUUACACUCCGAACAGACAUCGGUGUCCAUCUA